Molecule: ribosomal RNA, 549 nt
Filed under: uncultured Glomeromycotina
Lineage: Eukaryota; Fungi; Glomeromycota
Description: SSU rRNA
Rfam family: Eukaryotic small subunit ribosomal RNA
Source: RNAcentral
UUGGAGGGCAAGUCUGGUGCCAGCAGCCGCGGUAAUACCAGCUCCAAUAGCGUAUAUUAAAGUUGUUGCAGUUAAAAAGCUCGUAGUUGAAUUUCGGGGUUAGUAGGUUGGUCAUGCCUCUGGUAUGUACUGGUCUCACUGAUUCCUCCUUCCUGAUGAACCUUAAUGCCAUUAAUUUAGUGUUUUGGGGAAUUUGGACUGUUACUUUGAAAAAAUUAGAGUGUUUAAAGCAAGCUAACGCUUGAAUACAUUAGCAUGGAAUAAUGAAAUAGGACGUUCGAUCCUAUUUUGUUGGUUUCUAGGAUUGACGUAAUGAUUAAUAGGGAUAGUUGGGGGCAUUAGUAUUCAAUUGUCAGAGGUGAAAUUCUUGGAUUUAUUGAAGACUAACUACUGCGAAAGCAUUUGCCAAGGAUGUUUUCAUUAAUCAAGAACGAAAGUUAGGGGAUCGAAGACGAUCAGAUACCGUCGUAGUCUUAACCAUAAACUAUGCCGACUAGGGAUCGGAUGAUGUUAAUUUUUUAAUGACUCAUUCGGCGCCUUACGGGAAAC